This 468-nucleotide ribosomal RNA is filed under the name uncultured bacterium. RNAcentral's name for it is "partial 16S ribosomal RNA". It matches the Rfam family "Bacterial small subunit ribosomal RNA", at positions 28 to 507 of the family's 1533-position model. The record is from RNAcentral.
GACGAACGCUGGCGGCGUGCUUAACACAUGCAAGUCGAACGGAAAGGCCCUGCUUUUGUGGGUUGCUCGAGUGGCGAACGGGUGAGUAACACGUGAGUAACCUGCCCUUGACUUUGUGAUAACUUCAGGAAACUGGGGCUAAUACCGGAUAGGAGCUCCUGCUGCAUGGUGGGGGUUGGAAAGUUUCGGCGGUUGGGGAUGGACUCGCGGCUUAUCAGCUUGUUGGUGGGGUAGUGGCUUACCAAGGCUUUGACGGGUAGCCGGCCUGAGAGGGUGACCGGCCACAUUGGGACUGAGAUACGGCCCAGACUCCUACGGGAGGCAGCAGUGGGGAAUAUUGCACAAUGGGCGGAAGCCUGAUGCAGCAACGCCGCGUGCGGGAUGACGGCCUUCGGGUUGUAAACCGCUUUCGCCUGUGACGAAGCGUGAGUGACGGUAAUGGGUAAAGAAGCACCGGCUAACUACGUG